ACGGGAGGCAGCAGUGGGGAAUAUUGCACAAUGGGGGAAACCCUGAUGCAGCGACGCCGCGUGAGUGAUGACGUAUUUCGGUAUGUAAAGCUCUAUCAGCAGGGAAGAUAAUGACGGUACCUGACUAAGAAGCCCCGGCUAACUACGUGCCAGCAGCCGCGGUAAUACGUAGGGGGCAAGCGUUAUCCGGAUUUACUGGGUGUAAAGGGAGUGCAGGCGGUUCUUUAAGUCUGAUGUGAAAACCCAAGGCUCAACCAUGGGAUUGCAUUGGAAACUGGGGGACUAGAGUAUCGGAGAGGUAAGCGGAAUUCCUAGUGUAGCGGUGAAAUGCGUAGAUAUUAGGAGGAACACCAGUGGCGAAGGCGGCUUACUGGACGAUUACUGACGCUGAGGCUCGAAAGCGUGGGGAGCAAACAGGAUUAGAUACCCUGGUA
RNAcentral lists this ribosomal RNA (434 nucleotides) under uncultured Lachnospiraceae bacterium. RNAcentral's name for it is "partial 16S ribosomal RNA". It matches the Rfam family "Bacterial small subunit ribosomal RNA", at positions 341 to 792 of the family's 1533-position model. Lineage: Bacteria; Bacillati; Bacillota; Clostridia; Lachnospirales; Lachnospiraceae. The record is from RNAcentral.